RNAcentral lists this transfer RNA (76 nucleotides) under Gammaproteobacteria bacterium. RNAcentral's name for it is "tRNA-Phe". It matches the Rfam family "tRNA". From Rfam's summary of the family: Transfer RNA (tRNA) molecules are approximately 80 nucleotides in length. Their secondary structure includes four short double-helical elements and three loops (D, anti-codon, and T loops). Further hydrogen bonds mediate the characteristic L-shaped molecular structure. tRNAs have two regions of fundamental functional importance: the anti-codon, which is responsible for specific mRNA codon recognition, and the 3' end, to which the tRNAs corresponding amino acid is attached (by aminoacyl-tRNA synthetases). tRNAs cope with the degeneracy of the genetic code in two manners: having more than one tRNA (with a specific anti-codon) for a particular amino acid; and 'wobble' base-pairing, i.e. permitting non-standard base-pairing at the 3rd anti-codon position. Lineage: Bacteria; Pseudomonadati; Pseudomonadota; Gammaproteobacteria. The record is from RNAcentral.
GGCCGAAUAGCUCAGUUGGUAGAGCAGCGGAUUGAAAAUCCGCGUGUCGCUGGUUCAAUUCCAGCUUCGGCCACCA